Molecule: unclassified non-coding RNA, 248 nt
Filed under: Hevea brasiliensis (rubber tree)
Lineage: Eukaryota; Viridiplantae; Streptophyta; Magnoliopsida; Malpighiales; Euphorbiaceae
Source: RNAcentral
GAAUCCUAACAAGGCAGGGAGGACAAGCAUCAUGUGUAGAAUAGGCGGUGGCAAGUUAAAGAGUGAAGCUUCCGCGCCUGAUCAGAGCACUGCGCAGGGCUGGGGGGUGUGAUCCAGUGCAUGGGAAUAGAAUGAACAUUUUGUCGAGGAUACACUGAAUUGAGAAAUCUCGCAUAAAUAAGUAUAGACUGAGGUGCAAGAAAGCAUUCUUUCAAGUCCAUGGAGGAAGCUAUCCUGGAGAAAUUCAC